GCCGGGGUAGCUCAGUAGGUAGAGUGCUCGGCUGUUAACCGAGCGGUCAGAGGUUCGAGUCCUCUCCCCGGCGCCA
This 76-nucleotide transfer RNA is filed under the name Hadesarchaea archaeon. Its description in RNAcentral is "tRNA-Asn". It matches the Rfam family "tRNA". Rfam says of the family: Transfer RNA (tRNA) molecules are approximately 80 nucleotides in length. Their secondary structure includes four short double-helical elements and three loops (D, anti-codon, and T loops). The record is from RNAcentral. Lineage: Archaea; Methanobacteriati; Hadarchaeota (SeqCode); Hadarchaeia (SeqCode). RNAcentral also lists the same sequence under 2 other names.